AAGAUGCAGUACAAACCACCCAAUGGGAGUCAGGGAUUCAAGAACAGUCUAGUGCUUGGGGGGCUGCUUCAAAUCAAAACAGUGACCAGUCUGAUGGACCUCAAAAGGCUAUGUGGGUGUCUGGGAGCUCUCAAAAGUGGGGAUCUGGUGUUACCCAAGAAGACUCUUCAAAAUCUGGUGCUUGGGGGGCUGCUACCAAUCAAAAUAAUGAUCAGUCUUGGGGUAAAACGAAACCUGUAGCACAAGAUGCAGUACAAACCACCCAAUGGGAGUCAGGGAUUCAAAAACAGUCUAGUGCUUGGGGGGCUGCUUCAAAUCAAAACAGUGACCAGUCUGAUGGACCUCAAAAGGCUAUGUGGGUGUCUGGGAGCUCUCAAAAGUGGGGAUCUGGUGUUGCCCAAGAAGACUCUUUAAAAUCUGGUGCUUGGGAGGCCAACACAAU
This 442-nucleotide long non-coding RNA is filed under the name Trifolium pratense (red clover). RNAcentral describes it as "long non-coding RNA (TPRA_LNC013758)". Lineage: Eukaryota; Viridiplantae; Streptophyta; Magnoliopsida; Fabales; Fabaceae. The record is from RNAcentral.